Amborella trichopoda is the source of this 3374-nucleotide non-coding RNA. The record is from RefSeq and is a predicted model, not a curated record. Lineage: Eukaryota; Viridiplantae; Streptophyta; Magnoliopsida; Amborellales; Amborellaceae.
CAGGUAUCCGGAGCUCAAAGUGAUAAUACCCUGCUUCGAAUCGUCUGUCACUCAUUUGGCAUCUCCCAUUCCCCUUGUGGCUGAAUGCCCUGAUUAUCCCAUUUUCAGGCAGCAUUGAUGAAAUCCCUGAUGGUGGUCGUGGCUCACCACACAAAAGUCAAGAAAUAGAGGAACCAUGUGUAGAAAUGAAGUUGGGAUCAGAUGAUGCUGCAUACGAGUUUUUUAAGUCUUUUGCAUUACCAAAGGUUUUGGUAUUCGUAGGGGGGAGUACUCAUACCAACAAAGGUAAACGAAUUGAUAAGGUUUUUGUUUGCUCCAAUUUUAAACAAAAAAAACCUAAUAAAAGUGGAAAGGUUUACCCUGAGUUAAAGUGUGGGUGCAAGGUUAGGAUGUGCAUAAGUAGUCAAGAAAACGAAGAGUGGAAAGUGAUUAACGUCGAUCUAGAUUAUAAUCAUGAUCUAGUUAGUCUAAGAAAAGCUCGUCUAAUUCGCACACACCAAUCAUUGUCGAGUACUACAAAGUCAUUGAUACAUUCAAUGAGCUCGACAAUGGUUAAGCCUAGACAUAUUCAUAGAGCAGGCUGGAGGGAUAGACAAUGUCCCUUGUACACAAAAGGACAUUCAAAAAAAAAUAGCAACCACUAGAAGAAAACUUAGAGGAAACGAUGUCAAUUUAAUUUUGCAAUGACUCUAUAAAAAGAAGCAAUCGAACCCAUCAUUUUUCUAUGGAUUGAGAUUAGAUGAUGAGGAUCACAUUCGCAGUAUUUUAUGGGUAGAUUCUACAUCUAGCGUUUCCCUCCAGUGCUUUUCUGGUGUGGUUACCUUUGAUACCACAUACAAGACAAAUGCAUUUGGUAUGCCUUUUGCACCUAUACUUGGUGUAAACCACCAUUUUAGUACAACUUUCUUUGGAUUUACUCUCAUAUUUGACAAGAAGAUAGAAUAAUUUAUAUGGGUAUUUGAAAACUGGUUGGAAGCCUUGGGUGGACGACAACCGUGAGUAAUUCUCAUUGAUCAAGAUCCGACAAUUUUAUAUGUAGUGAGACAAGUUCUUUACCAAAGUAAGCAUCAUUAUUGUAAGUGGCACAUAUUUGCGAAGAUCAAAGAAAUAAUGUGUCAUGUGUUGCGCAUGCGUCCUUCUUAUUCAGAUACCUUUCGGAGGUGUGUGGCUAGCCCAACUAUUGAAGAAUUUGAAUUCGCUUGGAAAUCAAUGAUUGAUAAUUAUAACCUGGAAGACAAUGAAUGGCUCAAUAGGCUUUAUGGUUGUCGCAUGCAAUAGGUUGACGCAUACUUGGCUGGCACGUUCACUGCUGGUAUGACUUCUACUCCAAGGAGUGAGGGGAUGAAUUCUCACUUCAAAACGUACUUGACACCCACAACAAGCUUGCGUUCAUUAUUAGAAGUUGUUGCAAAAGUCAAAGAUAAGAAGGUGCGAAAAGAGAGGGAAAAUGACUUGAAAGAUAUUCAAACUAUUCUAGUCUUGCGAACAACCACUUUCAUUGAGGCACAUGCAUAAAAAAUAUAUUCUCAAAAGAUUUUAAAGAUAAUUGGGAAAGAAAUGGCUAAUUGCUUUAAUUUACGAGGGAGACAGUUGAAGACAAUAGACAGUUUGCAACCUUUAAGGUGGCACUCCUGGGGACCAGAACUAAAUCGUAUUUAGUGAAAUUCAAUUGCCAUGACAAUUUCGUUUCUUGCUCUUGUCAUUUCUUUGAGAGGAUGGACCUUCCUUCUUUGUAGGCAUGUACUGAAGAUUUUUAUGGUGAAAGAUGUGUUUGAAAUCCCUCCGUAAUAUAUAAUGAAGCGUUGGACCAAGGAUGUAAAGGAGGGAGUUUUCAUUGAUGACAUUGGGGAACAAAUUAAAGUAAUAUAUGAACUACCACGCUCCAUUUGAUAUAAUGAGGUUAUGCCAACAAGUCGAUCCUUUGUCGAGCGUGCUUCACAAAGUGUAGAGGGCUAUGAGUUUGUAAUGACUAUAACAAAAAAUAGAAUUCGUCAAUUUGAUGAAAAGUUCGUGUCCAGGAGAGAUCCAUAGGAUAAUGCCAUGAUCAAUGUCAAUGAACAUGUCAAUUAUGCUAGUUGUAGUAACACACCAAGUGAAAGUAACUAUUGGCGUAAUGUCCUUGAACCUCCAUGAGCACGGACAAAGGGACGACCGGCUACUAAAAGAAUGAAACCUCGAUCUAAAGGAUGGAAGCCGAAAAAAAGGAACUGCGCAGUCUGCAAUGGCAGUGGGCAUGACAAAAGGAACUGCCCGUCGUUUGUUUGUGAUAGGUACAACUGUUUACCUUUACAUUAAUUUGAUAUGCAAUUGUAUUAUAUUCAUUAUUAUUGAUGUAUUUGAUUUACAAUUAUAUUAGCUCCAAUUUAAAUGCUAACAUAUGAAUUUAUCUUCCUCUUACAAUGCUAAGGAAAAAAUACGUCGUACGGUAAGGAAUGAGAAGGCAACAGAAGUGAGUUGAUGGUAAGAGUCACUCGCAUCACCCUAAGUUUUUGCUCCUUGAUACCAAAGUGUAGUAGUUAAAUUAUUGUGAAUGGAAUUACUAGUUCAAUGUAAAGAUAACCCAUUAUUGGAAACAUGAGGCAAUUGUAGCAUCUUUUUGUGAUGCAUCUAUUAGUUUCUAUUAUUCCAUGUUUGGAGCUUAGUUCACAAACUUCAUUUGGGACCUUGUUGAAGAAGUUAGUCCUAUGAUUCAAUAUUAUAUUCAUCAGAGUUAUCCUUGUACGAGCCACUGACAGGUGAGCAUUGGUUUCCACUCCCUCAAAAGCUGCUAUAAGGUUGUAGAGAUAGUUUUGUAAUACUAGCAUUCUGAUUUUAUUUUGUUCUUAUGCAUUUUGCCCUUAUGCAUUACUCUUUGUAUUUCAUGUGUUAUCUUCACCCAAAUUCAUUGGUAUUUUUGGUUGCGCAUUUGCUCAACAUAUCUAGAAAGUUUGGAAUAUUUCUCAUUUCAAUUCUAUUUGGCAGGGUGGGUGUCAGAUUGGAAUGGCUAAAGUGACAAAUGCAUAUGACCUUCUUGCAAGGUUAUUCACACAGUUGGUCCUAAGUUUGCUGUCAAAUAAUAUACGUCUGCCGAAAAUGCUCUCAGCCAUUGCUAUCGUUCUUGUCUCAAGUUUCUUAUUGAGAAUGGACUUCAGAGGUGGUCAUGUGAGCUUUUGUAGUGGUUGGAGUGAUGUAUAAUAUUAUUCUCUUCUGUUUUGUAGUGGUUGGGCUAACUUGAGAGUUUGGUAUUACUUUAUUUUGUCAAUGCCCCAGCUGGUAUGUGUAAAUGGUUAAAAGUAUGUGGUUCACCAUUAGCCUGAAGACUUUUGUAUGUGGUUCAACAUUAGCCAAACAAAAAUUUAUAUCUCAAUGAAUUAUGGUGAUAUGUUGGUUAGUUU